CGGGACGGGGUGAGUAAUGUCUGGGAAACUGCCUGAUGGAGGGGGAUAACUGCUGGAAACGGUAGCUAAUACCGCAUAACGUCGCAAGACCAAAGAGGGGGACCUUCGGGCCUCUUGCCGUCGGAUGUGCCCAGAUGGGAUUAGCUAGUAGGUGGGGUAACGGCUCACCUAGGCGACGAUCCCUAGCUGGUCUGAGAGGAUGGCCAGCCACACUGGAACUGAGACACGGUCCAG
This 234-nucleotide ribosomal RNA is filed under the name uncultured bacterium. Its description in RNAcentral is "partial 16S ribosomal RNA". It matches the Rfam family "Bacterial small subunit ribosomal RNA", at positions 104 to 334 of the family's 1533-position model. The record is from RNAcentral.